RNAcentral lists this ribosomal RNA (477 nucleotides) under uncultured bacterium. RNAcentral's name for it is "SSU rRNA". It matches the Rfam family "Bacterial small subunit ribosomal RNA", at positions 26 to 523 of the family's 1533-position model. The record is from RNAcentral.
AGGACGAACGCUGGCGGCGUGCUUAACACAUGCAAGUCGAGCGGUAAGGCCCUUUCGGGGGUACACGAGCGGCGAACGGGUGAGUAACACGUGGGUGACCUGCCCUUAGCUCUGGGAUAAGCCUGGGAAACUGGGUCUAAUACCGGAUAUGACCUCGCGAUGCAUGUCGUGGGGUGGAAAGCCUUGUGCGGCUAGGGAUGGGCCCGCGGCCUAUCAGCUUGUUGGUGGGGUGAUGGCCUACCAAGGCGACGACGGGUAGCCGGCCUGAGAGGGCGACCGGCCACACUGGGACUGAGACACGGCCCAGACUCCUACGGGAGGCAGCAGUGGGGAAUCUUGCGCAAUGGGCGAAAGCCUGACGCAGCGACGCCGCGUGAGGGAUGACGGCCUCGGUUGUAACCUCUUUCAGCCCUGACGAAGCGAAGUGACGGUAGGGCGAGAGAAGCACCGGCCACUACGUGCCAGCAGCCGCGGUAA